UACGUAGGUGGCAAGCGUUGUCCGGAAUUAUUGGGCGUAAAGCGCGCGCAGGCGGUCCUUUAAGUCUGAUGUGAAAGCCCACGGCUCAACCGUGGAGGGUCAUUGGAGACUGGGGGACUUGAGUGCAGGAGAGAAGAGUGGAAUUCCACGUGUAGCGGUGAAAUGCGCAGAUAUCGGGAGGAACACCGGUGGCGAAGGCGGUUCUCUGGGCCUUACCUGACGCUGAGGAGCGAAAGCGUGGGGAGCAAACAGG
Molecule: ribosomal RNA, 253 nt
Filed under: uncultured bacterium
Lineage: Bacteria
Description: partial 16S ribosomal RNA
Rfam family: Bacterial small subunit ribosomal RNA
Source: RNAcentral